AUUGAACGCUGGCGGCAUGCUUUACACAUGCAAGUCGAACGGCAGCGCGGGCUUCGGCCUGGCGGCGCGUGGCGAACGGGUGAGUAAUGCAUCGGAACGUGCCCAGCAGUGGGGGAUAGCCCGGCGACAGCCGGAUUAAUACCGCAUACGACCUGAGGGUGAAAGCGGGGGACCGAAAGGCCUCGCGCGCUUGGAGCGACCGAUGUCGGAUUAGCUAGUUGGUGGGGUAAAGGCUUACCAAGGCGACGAUCCGUAGCUGGUCUGAGUGGACGACCAGCCACACUGGGACUGAGACACGGCCCAGACUCCUACGGGAGGCAGCAGUGGGGAAUUUUGGACAAUGGGGGCAACCCUGAUCCAGCCAUGCCGCGUGCGGGAAGAAGGCCUUCGGGUUGUAAACCGCUUUUGUUCGGGAAGAAAUCCUCUGGGCUAAUACCCCGGGGGGAUGACGGUACCGGAAGAAUAAGCACCGGCUAACUACGUG
RNAcentral lists this ribosomal RNA (484 nucleotides) under uncultured bacterium. RNAcentral describes it as "partial 16S ribosomal RNA". It matches the Rfam family "Bacterial small subunit ribosomal RNA", at positions 28 to 507 of the family's 1533-position model. The record is from RNAcentral.